This 430-nucleotide ribosomal RNA is filed under the name uncultured bacterium. RNAcentral describes it as "bacterial SSU rRNA". It matches the Rfam family "Bacterial small subunit ribosomal RNA", at positions 355 to 776 of the family's 1533-position model. The record is from RNAcentral.
UAGGGAAUUUUGCGCAAUGGGCGAAAGCCUGACGCAGCAACGCCGCGUGAGUGAUGAAGGUCUUCGGAUUGUAAAGCUCUGUUGAGUGGGAAGAAUGAUCUUUCGUCUAAUAUACGGAAGAUGUGACGGUACCACUCGAGGAAGCCCCGGCUAACUACGUGCCAGCAGCCGCGGUAAUACGUAGGGGGCAAGCGUUGUUCGGAAUUACUGGGCGUAAAGGGAGCGUAGGCGGGGAGGUAAGUUAGGAGUGAAAUACACGGGCACAACCCGUGUGUUGCUUUUAAUACUGCUUCUCUUGAGUAUGGAAGAGGGAGAUGGAAUUCCAGGUGUAGCGGUGGAAUGCGUAGAUAUCUGGAAGAACACCAGUAGCGAAGGCGGUCUCCUGGUCCAAUACUGACGCUGAGGCUCGAAAGCUAGGGGAGCAAACAGG